GGGGAAUAUUGCACAAUGGGCGAAAGCCUGAUGCAGCAACGCCGCGUGAGCGAUGAAGGGUUUCGGAUCGUAAAGCUCUGUCGCAUGGGAAGAUAAUGACGGUACCAUGUGAGGAAGCCCCGGCUAACUACGUGCCAGCAGCCGCGGUAAUACGUAGGGGGCAAGCGUUAUCCGGAAUUACUGGGCGUAAAGGGUGCGUAGGUGGUCUGCCAAGUUAGAGGUCAAAGGCAACGGCUCAACCGUUGUUCGCCCCUAAAACUGGCGGACUUGAGUUCUGGAGGGGAAAGCGGAAUUCCUAGUGUAGCGGUGAAAUGCGUAGAUAUUAGGAGGAACACCAGUGGCGAAGGCGGCUUUCUGGACAGAUACUGACACUGAGGCACGAAAGCGUGGGUAGCAAAC
Molecule: ribosomal RNA, 399 nt
Filed under: uncultured bacterium
Lineage: Bacteria
Description: bacterial SSU rRNA
Rfam family: Bacterial small subunit ribosomal RNA
Source: RNAcentral